GCAAGCCGAGCGGUAGAGAUCUUUCGGGAUCUUGAGAGCGGCGUACGGGUGCGGAACACGUGUGCAACCUGCCUUUAUCUGGGGGAUAGCCUUUCGAAAGGAAGAUUAAUACCCCAUAAUAUACUGAAUGGCAUCAUUCGGUAUUGAAAACUCCGGUGGAUAGAGAUGGGCACGCGCAAGAUUAGAUAGUUGGUGAGGUAACGGCUCACCAAGUCUACGAUCUUUAGGGGGCCUGAGAGGGUGAUCCCCCACACUGGUACUGAGACACGGACCAGACUCCUACGGGAGGCAGCAGUGAGGAAUAUUGGACAAUGGGUGAGAGCCUGAUCCAGCCAUCCCGCGUGAAGGACGACGGCCCUAUGGGUUGUAAACUUCUUUUGUAUAGGGAUAAACCUACCCUCGUGAGGGUAGCUGAAGGUACUAUACGAAUAAGCACCGGCUAACUCCGUGCCAGCAGCCGCGGUAAUACGGAGGGUGCAAGCGUUAUCCGGAUUUAUUGGGUUUAAAGGGUCCGUAGGCGGAUCUGUAAGUCAGUGGUGAAAUCUCACAGCUUAACUGUGAAACUGCCAUUGAUACUGCAGGUCUUGAGUGUUGUUGAAGUAGCUGGAAUAAGUAGUGUAGCGGUGAAAUGCAUAGAUAUUACUUAGAACACCAAUUGCGAAGGCAGGUUACUAAGCAACAACUGACGCUGAUGGACGAAAGCGUGGGGAGCGAACAGGAUUAGAUACCCUGGUAGUCCACGCCGUAAACGAUGCUAACUCGUUUUUGGAGCGUAAGCUUCAGAGACUAAGCGAAAGUGAUAAGUUAGCCACCUGGGGAGUACGAACGCAAGUUUGAAACUCAAAGGAAUUGACGGGGGCCCGCACAAGCGGUGGAUUAUGUGGUUUAAUUCGAUGAUACGCGAGGAACCUUACCAAGGCUUAAAUGGGAAAUGACAGGUUUAGAAAUAGACUUUUCUUCGGACAUUUUUCAAGGUGCUGCAUGGUUGUCGUCAGCUCGUGCCGUGAGGUGUUAGGUUAAGUCCUGCAACGAGCGCAACCCCUGUCACUAGUUGCCAUCAUUAAGUUGGGGACUCUAGUGAGACUGCCUACGCAAGUAGAGAGGAAGGUGGGGAUGACGUCAAAUCAUCACGGCCCUUACGCCUUGGGCCACACACGUAAUACAAUGGCCGGUACAGAGGGCAGCUACACUGCGAAGUGAUGCAAAUCUCGAAAGCCGGUCUCAGUUCGGAUUGGAGUCUGCAACUCGACUCUAUGAAGCUGGAAUCGCUAGUAAUCGCGCAUCAGCCAUGGCGCGGUGAAUACGUUCCCGGGCCUUGUACACACCGCCCGUCAAGCCAUGGAAGUCUGGGGUACCUGAAGUCGGUGACCGUAACAGGAGCUGCC
RNAcentral lists this ribosomal RNA (1385 nucleotides) under Chryseobacterium indologenes. RNAcentral's name for it is "bacterial SSU rRNA". It matches the Rfam family "Bacterial small subunit ribosomal RNA". The record is from RNAcentral. Lineage: Bacteria; Pseudomonadati; Bacteroidota; Flavobacteriia; Flavobacteriales; Weeksellaceae.